Molecule: ribosomal RNA, 253 nt
Filed under: uncultured bacterium
Lineage: Bacteria
Description: partial 16S ribosomal RNA
Rfam family: Bacterial small subunit ribosomal RNA
Source: RNAcentral
UACGAAGGGGGCGAGCGUUGUUCGGAAUUACUGGGCGUAAAGGGCGCGUAGGCGGCCGAUCAAGUCAGCUGUGAAAGUCCUGGGCUUAACCUGGGGACUGCAUUUGAUACUGAUUGGCUUGAAUUCGGGAGAGGAUAGCGGAAUUCCCAGUGUAGAGGUGAAAUUCGUAGAUAUUGGGAAGAACACCGGUGGCGAAGGCGGCUAUCUGGACCGACAUUGACGCUGAGGCGCGAAAGCGUGGGGAGCAAACAGG